This 1218-nucleotide long non-coding RNA is filed under the name Ursus maritimus (polar bear). Its description in RNAcentral is "lncRNA (ENSUMAG00000002594.1)". Lineage: Eukaryota; Metazoa; Chordata; Mammalia; Carnivora; Ursidae. The record is from RNAcentral.
UUUUUUUACUGUAUGGUGACUAACAUAAUGUAAUAAAAAAAACAUUAAAAAAAGACUUCUUUUUUUAUUACUUGGUUUGUGCCACUUGAUCACGACGUACCUUAUUAACAUAUUUUUUGGGCUUGGUGUUCAUUGAGCUUCCUGGUUCUGUGGGUUUAUAGUUUUCAUCAGAUUUGGGAAAAAAUCCCAGCCACGAAUUCUUCUAAUCUUUUUUUUUCUAUUCCCCUCCUUCUUAGGUUCUGCAAGUGUGCGUAUAUUGGCAUGACUGAGCUGACUGAGCCUCUGCUCAUUCCUCCCCCUGCCAUUCACUUAUCUCUGUGAGGUUCAUUUUGGUUAGUUCCUGUUGUUACAACUUCAAGUCCAAUAAUAUUUUGUCUGGCAGUGUCUAAGCUGCCAUUAAUCCUAUUCAGUACAUCUAAUAGUUUUUGUCUAUAUGCUGUAUAUCAUUGAGAGUCUGGAAAUUUCGUCUUUCUUUUUUUUCAAAGAGCAUUUCCAAAAGUAUUUUUUUCAGAGCAUUAGAGCAAGAAAUUAAUUUCCUGGAAGAUCACCUUCAGUCCAUUGUGGCUGGUUUUAGGCUUUCUUAGGGUAAGUGUGCAGUAACCCCAUCCUCUAUUUGCAAGAGUGGAUUUUGUGGGCUGUCCCCUGAUUGAGGGCACACAGUGCCUCUCUGUUUGGGUUGGUCUCAACUCUAGAGUCUCCUAGCUCUGCACAAAAUUAGACUCUCUAUUAUUCACCCCCUCUUCUCUGGCUCCCCGCUAAUCUCCACCAGACCUCACAGAAACUCGCCCGUUUAUAUGCAGCUUGAUAUUCAGCCAGAGACGGAGGGAUUCCUCAUGUAGGUUUCUGGAGCUCCUUCCAUAUGCAGCUGUCUCCUCUGGGGUUCUCUGCUCUGCAUAUCCCAGCUGCCUUGGGGUGCCGGAUGCCGAGCUCUAUUUGCUCUGUCCGGUGGGAACACUGCUGUGUUUGCACUCCUUUUCCCUGCACCAAAAUGUGUAAAGAUCCCCCAGUCGGUGAGUCUAGAUAAACAUGGGGCUCCCUUAUGUGAAACCACUCGAAGAUCACAGCUCUACGGCCUGUUGUCCAAUGAAACAGUCGUUUCCUACGAAUUCCUCGUUCUACAGCUGUUGGCGGCAGAGGUGGGGGUGAUCGAGGCCAGACACUCUCAUGUGGAUCUGAGGAAUAGAAGAGGCUGCAGAAGCUCGAACAACAUGUUUCAUC